Molecule: unclassified non-coding RNA, 196 nt
Filed under: uncultured Ascomycota
Lineage: Eukaryota; Fungi; Ascomycota
Description: sequence contains ITS1
Source: RNAcentral
ACGUGCCCCCGGGGCGCCCUCCGUCCCCCGGAACUCCGGGGCCGGUCGGGCGUUCCCCUCGGCCCAUCCGUGUCUACUUUACCUGUUGCUUCGGCGGGCUGCCGGGGUCGCCUCGCGGCGCUCCGGGCCUGAGCCCGCCGAAGGUCCCUGAACCUCUGGUGAACGUUGGCGGUCUGAGUGGGAUGAUGAAUCGUUA